UACGUAGGGUGCAAGCGUUAAUCGGAAUUACUGGGCGUAAAGCGUGCGCAGGCGGCUAUGCAAGACAGAUGUGAAAUCCCCGGGCUCAACCUGGGAACUGCAUUUGUGACUGCAUAGCUAGAGUACGGUAGAGGGGGAUGGAAUUCCGCGUGUAGCAGUGAAAUGCGUAGAUAUGCGGAGGAACACCGAUGGCGAAGGCAAUCCCCUGGACCUGUACUGACGCUCAUGCACGAAAAGCGUGGGGAGCAAACGAGG
Molecule: ribosomal RNA, 255 nt
Filed under: uncultured bacterium
Lineage: Bacteria
Description: partial 16S ribosomal RNA
Rfam family: Bacterial small subunit ribosomal RNA
Source: RNAcentral